This 262-nucleotide ribosomal RNA is filed under the name uncultured bacterium. RNAcentral's name for it is "partial 16S ribosomal RNA". It matches the Rfam family "Bacterial small subunit ribosomal RNA", at positions 524 to 779 of the family's 1533-position model. The record is from RNAcentral.
UACGUAGGGUGCGAGCGUUAAUCGGAAUUACUGGGCGUAAAGGGUGUGUAGGCGGUUUUGCAAGAUGGAUGUGAAAGCCCCGGGCUUAACCUGGGAAAGCCAUACAUGACUGCAAGACUAGAGUGCGUCAGAGGGGGGUGGAAUUCCAAAGUGGUAGCAGUGAAAUGACGUAGAUAUUUGGAAGAACACCGAUGGCGAAGGCGGCCCCCUGGGACGCAACUGACGGCUCAUACACGAAAGCGUGGGGAGCAAACAAGGGAUU